AAACUACCCCCUCCGUCCUAAAAUUCUUGUCUUAGAUUAGUCUAGAUACGGAUGUAUCUAAUAUUAAAAUAUGACUUGAUACAUCCGUAUUUAGACAAAUCUAAGACAAGAAUUUUGGGACAGAGGGAGUACAUG
This is a non-coding RNA of Triticum aestivum (bread wheat), 135 nucleotides long. Lineage: Eukaryota; Viridiplantae; Streptophyta; Magnoliopsida; Poales; Poaceae. The record is from Rfam.